CACGCUGUAAACGAUGUCAACUAGUUGUUGGGUUCCUUGAGAACUUAGUAACGCAGCUAACGCAUUAAGUUGACCGCCUGGGGAGUACGGCCGCAAGGUUAAAACUCAAAUGAAUUGACGGGGGCCCGCACAAGCGGUGGAGCAUGUGGUUUAAUUCGAAGCAACGCGAAGAACCUUACCUGGCCUUGACAUGUAGCGAACUUUCUAGAGAUAGAUUGGUGCCUUCGGGAACGCUAACACAGGUGC
This 246-nucleotide ribosomal RNA is filed under the name uncultured Pseudomonadaceae bacterium. RNAcentral's name for it is "partial 16S ribosomal RNA". It matches the Rfam family "Bacterial small subunit ribosomal RNA", at positions 796 to 1041 of the family's 1533-position model. The record is from RNAcentral. Lineage: Bacteria; Pseudomonadati; Pseudomonadota; Gammaproteobacteria; Pseudomonadales; Pseudomonadaceae.